Non-coding RNA from Trematomus bernacchii (emerald rockcod), 700 nucleotides. NCBI's taxonomy places the organism in Eukaryota, Metazoa, Chordata, Actinopteri, Perciformes, Nototheniidae. The record is from the annotation of a RefSeq genome assembly.
AAUCCUAGGUCCUCUGACUUUUUAUUUACAGACUGCCUUUGGAUCUGUUACCCAGGAGGAAGUGUAACUGAGAGAAGUGAAAUACAGAUCUAAGAGGAGACAGAGAGAUUCAGGGAGGAGCUAAGAUGUUCCUGAACUAUAGAAGAGAGAGGAACUUCCAUAUUCACCAGAGUUCAACACAGACCAUCAUCAUCAUCACCUUCAUUCAACAUGCUGUCAUUAGACUAUUAUUUACAUUCCCUACUGUUAGUUUCCAUUCUAAGAGGGGUCAGCUGUGAAGAUCUCACUGCAUUACAGAAAGAAGAGUUCAGACCAGAAGGCAGCACUGUUACUCUGUCCUACAGAUACUCCAAAACUAUAACGGCUAGUGAAGAUUUUUUCUGGUAUCGACAAUAUCCAGGAAAACAACCAGAGUUUCUUCUCUACAUCUCAGGAACAAGUUUUACAAGACUAGCAGAGUCUCUAAAAUCAGACACAACGUUCUCUUCUAAACUGUCUGAAGGAAAGCAACGAGUGGAUCUGAGCAUCUCCUCUGCUGCAGUGACAGACUCUGCUGUGUUCUACUGUGCUGUGAGGCCCACAGUGACAGGAAACACCAACACUCUGUACACAAACACCAGCUGACACACUGACAAGCUGCUGGAAGCCUUUUCUCCACACUGCUGUACUGAGCUGUUCACCUCCACUAGAGGGCCACAUU